RNAcentral lists this ribosomal RNA (446 nucleotides) under uncultured bacterium. RNAcentral describes it as "bacterial SSU rRNA". It matches the Rfam family "Bacterial small subunit ribosomal RNA", at positions 331 to 794 of the family's 1533-position model. The record is from RNAcentral.
CCAGACUCCUACGGGAGGCAGCAGUGGGGAAUACUGCACAAUGGGGGAAACCCUGAUGCAGCGACGCCGCGUGAAGGACGAAGUAUUUCGGUACGUAAACUUCUAUCAGCAGGGAAGAAAAUGACGGUACCUGACCAAGAAGCCCCGGCUAACUACGUGCCAGCAGCCGCGGUAAUACGUAGGGGGCAAGCGUUAUCCGGAUUUACUGGGUGUAAAGGGAGCGUAGACGGCCAUGCAAGUCUGAUGUGAAAACCCGGGGCUCAACCCCGGGACUGCAUUGGAAACUGUGCGGCUGGAGUGUCGGAGAGGCAAGUGGAAUUCCUAGUGUAGCGGUGAAAUGCGUAGAUAUUAGGAGGAACACCAGUGGCGAAGGCGGCUUGCUGGACGACGACUGACGUUGAGGCUCGAAAGCGUGGGGAGCAAACAGGAUUAGAUACCCGGGUAGC